RNAcentral lists this ribosomal RNA (427 nucleotides) under uncultured bacterium. RNAcentral's name for it is "partial 16S ribosomal RNA". It matches the Rfam family "Bacterial small subunit ribosomal RNA", at positions 354 to 796 of the family's 1533-position model. The record is from RNAcentral.
GUGGGGAAUUUUGGACAAUGGGGGAAACCCUGAUCCAGCGACGCCGCGUGAAGGAUGAAGGCCUUCGGGUUGUAAACUUCUUUUGGAGGGGACGAAUAAAUUGACGGUAUCCUCAGAAAAAGCCACGGCUAACUACGUGCCAGCAGCCGCGGUAAUACGUAGGUGGCGAGCGUUACUCGGAAUUACUAGGCGUAAAGCGUAUGUAGGCGGUUGUAUAAGUCUAUGGUGAAAUAUCCUGGCUCAACUGGGAAGGGACAUAGAUACUGUAUGGCUUGAGUGUUGGAAGGGGAGACGGAAUUCCUGGUGUAGCGAUGAAAUGCGUAGAUAUCCGGAGGAACACCUAUUGCGAAAGCAGUCUCCUGGCCAAAUACUGACGCUGCGGUACGAAAGCUAGGGUAGCAAACAGGAUUAGAUACCCGAGUAGUCC